GACUGAAAAUCUGUUUUGCAACAGAAUCCUGACCAAGACUGGCAGCAGACAGAGGUUACAGAACCAUCCAUUCAUGUUGCUCUCAUUUAUAAACUCAGAGGAAACUAGUGGGCAGAAGAAAAGUUGGUUCAUAAAGUUUCCAACUAGAUUAAAGGGCAACAACUUUGAUGCAGGAGUUUAUUUUAAUGGUCCAAGUUUCCAUCAAACCUAAACAGGGAUUUUAUAAAAAAAGAGCCAAAGAUCCAAAGAUGUGAAUUAUGGGGAAGCGGCCCAAUGAGUGAAAGUUAAAAAUGUGUCUGAUUGAUUGAAUUUGUCAGAAAAAACAGUUUUAUAGAAUUAAAUACAUGAAGACUGAUAAAAAGUGGAAUAUUUAUAAAAACCUCUAAAUAUUAAAAGCUGCAGCAAUGCUGUCCUGUAGCAGCUGAAUGUUUAGAUGAUUGAAAUCGUCCAAAGAAUGAAGGAAGUAAAGGCCAAAGACGACCAGAAGCAAUUUGAGCUACGAAGAAGAAACAGAGCAACAAUGUAAACAAUGAAUGCUGCAUUCACACAAUGAAUGCUGCAUUCACACAGCAUUCAUUAUGUGAAUGAAUACAAUGAACACAUCUGGACCAGUUUUUCAGUAACGAGUUGCUUUUUUAAAUCCAGUAAUCAGACUAAAGUUACUUCUACGUGUCUUGGGGAGCGACCGCCGUUUCUAUGCAACAGUAUCAGCAGCGACACAAACGUAAACAAUGGAGGAAGAUGAACAUUUUGUUGAUGGAAAAUCAGGAACUAUUGAGUUUCUGUCACCAAGUCAGAUUAUUAUAAACGGCUCUGGACUUGUUUUUUCUAAAGUCACUUGGAAAACUAAUGAGUCGCUGGUUGCAGUUUUUUGGGUUUGUUUCUGAACGUGAAGUUUCUCAUUUGGGUUUGGAAAUAAGCAGAAACGCAUAAUAAACCCCAGAAUCUAUCUGGCAUCCAGGUAGUUUUAGUCAGACUCUCCAUCAUUUCCCAGAUGAUCCGUCCUGCUGUGUCUUUGUUAAUGUCAAGUUAAUAUUUGCUGUGAAUGACGUCGAGCUUCACGUUGAGCUCCAGAAAACUGCAAACAUCGAGACUAAUAUGAACAGCAAUAAAGGUGAAAACAGUCAUGAAUGAACGAGUCUGUAAAGUUGUGCAACUAAACGCCAUUAUAAUCAUUAAUAUUAAGAUAAAUGUCACUAAUCUGUGCAGAAGGUGAUCUGAGCUGUGGAGCAGCAGGAGAAGCUCUGUGUAACCCACGUGACCGCCAUGGCCCACCCACCUGCCCUUUAAGUCGUCCCUUUAACUUCUGGGACCCUCAUGUGUAUUUCCGGGUUUUCCACUGUGCUGCUGCUCACUGUUGGUUGUGGCGUCGGUUGUUAAUAAAACAAUCUCAAACCUCCAACUCGACUCAUCACUGAACAAAUUCAUCCCUAAAACUCGAGGAUCUGCGGCUGGGCUUUGUUGACGCCUGGUUUACCUUCUGAUGAGAACAAGUUAACAUUGCAUCCACCUCCUCAGACAAUCUGUUACUCGACGGUCAGGUUUUUUUUCUCCCCCUUCAUCGACUUGCUUGAUGACGGAGGAUGGCGGGCUACCCACACACCAUCUGGUGGUAGGAAAAAGAAAGACACUCUCCACACAGGAAAACCAAACGACACUCUCCACACAGGAAAACCAAACGACACUUU
Poecilia latipinna (sailfin molly) is the source of this 1688-nucleotide long non-coding RNA. RefSeq lists it as uncharacterized. Lineage: Eukaryota; Metazoa; Chordata; Actinopteri; Cyprinodontiformes; Poeciliidae. The record is from RefSeq and is a predicted model, not a curated record. The transcript is spliced from 3 exons.